RNAcentral lists this ribosomal RNA (1137 nucleotides) under Triticum aestivum (bread wheat). RNAcentral describes it as "partial small subunit ribosomal RNA". The record is from RNAcentral. Lineage: Eukaryota; Viridiplantae; Streptophyta; Magnoliopsida; Poales; Poaceae.
AUGGCGUCCUCCUCCGAUGAGCAGCCCAAGCCGCCCGAGCCUCCCGCGGCCGCCGUGGCUGUGGCCACCGCCGCGCCGCAGUCCCACGCAGAGUGGGCCGCCUCGAUACAGGCGUUCUACGCCUCCGGGGGGCAUCCCUACGCCGCCUGGCCCGCGCAGCAGCUGAUGGCGGCGGCGGCGGCCUCAGGGACAUCGUACGGCGCGCCGGUGCAGUUCCCCAUGUACCACCCGGGGGCCGCGAUGGCGUACUACGCCCACGCGUCCAUGGCCGCGGGUGUUCCUUACCCGACUGCUGAAGCUGUUGCUGCUGCCGCAGCUGCGCCAGUUGUGGCAGAAGGAAAGGGCAAGGCUAAGGGCGGUGACGUGUCUCCUGAGAAGGGCAGUUCUGCUGCGCCCUCUGGCGACGACGCUUCGCAGAGCUGUGGGAGCGGCAGUGACGAGUCUUCAGACACGAGAGAUUAUGACACUGACCAAAAGGAUUCGUCUGCACCUAAGAAGAGGAAAUCUGGUAAUACCUCAGCGGAAGGUGAACCGUCUCAAGCUGCUGCUGUUCCAUAUGCUGCUGUCGAGUCACCGUAUCAGUUGAAGGGGAGGUCUGCCUCAAAGCUUCCAGUUUCUGCGCCUGGGCGGGCAGCACUUCCCAAUGCCACGCCAAAUCUGAACAUAGGGAUUGAUCUUUGGAGUGCUUCUCAAUCCUUAGCUGUGAUCCCAGUGCAGGGGGAAGCAAAUCCUGGCUUGGCGCUUGCCCGAUGUGAUGGUGUUGGUCAGCUGGAUGAGCGUGAAAUUAAGAGGGAGAGGCGAAAACAAUCUAAUAGGGAGUCUGCGAGGAGAUCAAGGUUACGCAAGCAGCAAGAGUGCGAGGAAUUAUCCAGGAAGGUUGCUGAGCUGACAACUGAGAACAACGCCCUCAGAACUGAGCUUGACCAGCUUAAGAAGGCCUGUGAAGAUAUGGAAGCACAGAAUGCACAACUAAUGUCUCAGGAACCUGCUGCGGUCACAACCACACUGGGCAUGAGCAUCGCAGCGCCCAAAGUGCAGCAGCACGAUGAUGAGGGUAAACUUCAUAAGAAGGCUAAUAAUAACAGCAACGGGAAGUACGUAGGUGGCAGCCACAAACUGGAGGCUAACCCUAGGUGA